CACUAACUUCUAACUUUGUAACCUCGAGUUGCUUUUGUUACCCUUUAUGUGACGGCCACACUGCUGUCACAUAUGUUACUAACCACGUGACGGUAAAGAGCCGUUCGGUAUAGCACUAUUUUAGAAAUUUAAAUUUAUUUCCAGUUAGAAAACUAUUCGCUGGACUAGCCACCAUCGUAAACCUAACUGGUUGCCGGCGAACGGCGUAAAACACCAGGCAUCUUCUUCUUCAUCGUAUUCUCCCUUCAUCUUUUGAGGUAAGCUUGUGAUUAUGAGUUUCUUCUCUGACUUAGCUUGUAAUUAUAGAUUUUGAUUUUUUUUUUAAAUUCGUAUUGUAGCCAUUAUUGUCAAUUUUUGUCCCGCCAGCAAUAUUUUUUUAUUCCUACAAGUUGAAGCCCCUGUGUUCUUGUUCCAUUGGUGUUGCUCACUCAAAUUAAUUUUGUUCUGCGGAAUUUACAAAGUUCAAAUGGAUUCAUUUGAAUUACUAUUGAAUUUAGCUUUAAUUCCAACAUCCAUUCUAAUGUUUUGCUAUUAGAUUUAGUUUAAUUUUAUGUUUAAAGCAUCUACAAUGAAUAGCGGAGCUUGGGUUUUAGUUUCAUUUUCUGGAUAACUUGUUUUAGUUUAUCUUGUAUGCUCACCAAGUGCUUGUUAUAUUGUCUGAUAAGUUAUAUACAUUGCUGAUUCUAUAUUAAUAAUGUUACGUUCUAUUUUCAGAAAUUAUAAUACAAAAGUUUUUACAAUGGCGUGCAUCUACAAACUGAAUUGACUUGUAGAAUAAGAGCUUGGAGUA
This 790-nucleotide long non-coding RNA is filed under the name Citrus maxima (pomelo). Its description in RNAcentral is "long non-coding RNA (CMAX_LNC001324)". Lineage: Eukaryota; Viridiplantae; Streptophyta; Magnoliopsida; Sapindales; Rutaceae. The record is from RNAcentral.